AUCCGGAAACGGGUGCUAAUACCGCAUAGUUUUCUUGAUCGCAUGAUCGGGAAGGAAAGACGGCCCUUUGUGCUGUCGCUUAUGGAUGGACCCGCGGCGUAUUAGGUUAGUUGGUGAGGUAACGGCUCACCAAGACGAUGAUACGUAGCCGACCUGAGAGGGUGAUCGGCCACAUUGGGACCUGAGACACGGCCCAAACUCCUACGGGAGGCAGCAGUAGGGAAUCUUCCGCAAUGGACGAAAGUCUGACGGAGCAACGCCGCGUGAGUGAAAAGAAGGUUUUCGGAUCGUAAAACUCUGUUGUCAGAGAAGAACAAGUUUGGAGAGUAACUGCUCCAGCCUUGUACGGUAUCUGACCAGAAAGCCACGGCUAACUACGUGCCAGCCGCCGC
Molecule: ribosomal RNA, 392 nt
Filed under: uncultured bacterium
Lineage: Bacteria
Description: bacterial SSU rRNA
Rfam family: Bacterial small subunit ribosomal RNA
Source: RNAcentral